AAACAUUGUAUCGUUAACAUACCUACUCCAUUUUUAAAGACAUAGCGGAGAAAGUGGAGGAGAAGAAACCAAAGCAAUGAACCAGUCGACCUCACCGGAGGGAGAAAAUCCGGCCAUCGUCGAUCAGAAGUGGGAUCCCCACGACCCUAUUCAAGAUUAAUUUUAGUUCCUAUUUAAUCGGUUAGUUAAGUCAUGAGAGUUGAGACUAUGUUAGUUAUUUUAAGAGCGACAGAUGAUGGUUGUAACUAGGGGUGAAAAUGAGAUGGUCACGAACGGGACGGUAUUGCCUCUGGUAUCCACUCUGUUUUGCCAAAACAGGACGUGGAACGGGAUGGUAUUGAGGCAUCUGCCACAAUAUUUAAUCUUCCGGGUUUGUAAAUUAUAAUUAAUUGCAAAAUCAAAUCUUAACAAUUUACACAGAAACAUUUGUUGUUUAGAAGUCUGAAUGACUUGCGUUAACACAUUUUUUAAAAUUCUGUGAUCAGUCCUGAUAAUGAAUCUGGAUCCCAGUAAAUAAUGUCUUCACUUAUUUACUGUUUGUGUUAUAGCAAACAUCUCUUUAAUAUAGACUGAGACACCUAUCAUUCUUUCAGAAAUUUUACAACUGUAGAAGGCAAUCAGGUGUUUCUCUUGAAUUAGAACUAGUUGUCCACACUCCAUUAGCACAAGUAUCUGUUUCAAUUUUGAAUUGUUUUUAAAAAUUUGGAUAAUUUAACACAGGUGUUGUAGUCAUGGCUUUUUUCAGACUUCGGUCUCCAUUUAAAACUGUCUUUUUUAAUAUAUCAGUCAGGACAGAAGCUAUUUGUGCAUAAUUUCUCACAAAUCUUCUAUAAUAUCCAGUUAAGCCUAAGAAUCCCCUCAGUAGCUUGAUUGUAGACGGUUUCUUCCAUUCUAUCAUUGUUUUGAUUUUAUCUAGGCCAGGGUGAACUCCCUCAGAUGAUAUAAUGUGACCCAAGAAACCUACAGAUCGAUUCCUUCCCAAAAGAGCAUUUAGGAAGUUUAGCCAGUAGCUUAUUGCUCCUCAGAAUUUCGAAGACUUGAGCUAAAUGUUCCAGAUGAUCAGAAAUAGAUGAGUUGUAGAUAAGAAUAUCAUCAAAGAAAAUUAUGACAAAUUUUCUUAAAUAUCUCUGAAAAAUAGAAUUCAUCACAGACUGAAAUGUUGAUGGGGCAUUAGUAUGCCCAAAUGGCAUAACCAGAAAUUCAUAAUAGCCAGUGUGUGUUCUGAAUGCAGUCUUGUGAGUGUCAGAUGGAUAUAUUCUGAUCUGAUGGAAUCCCGAUCUUAGGUUAAGUUUUGAGAAGAUGGUGGCUCCUUUUAAUUUUCCUAGCAACUCGUCCACUGUAGGGAUUGAAAACUUUUCCUUGAUGGUCAUGGCGUUUAGGGCUUUGUAGUACGUCAACACACAUCCUGUAACCUUCGUCUUUUUAUUUAUUAGAAGGACAGGUGAUGAAUAUGAACUUGAGCUGGGUUUGAUUGUCUUUUAUUUUAACAUUUCAACUACUAAUUUCUCAAUUUCAGUUUUUUUAAAUUGGGGAUCGAUACAUGUUGGGUCUCACAUUUACAGGUUGGUUGUCUAGGGACAAGAGGAAUCUGUGUUCUUGUUCUCUGACAGGUGGUAGUUCAUAUGGAUCAGCAAAUAUAUCAUUGAAUUGUUGCACUACUUUAUGGAUCUGAGGUUGUUCUUCUUUCAAUGUUUUUUGUUUUACUGGUGUCUUCUCUACUGUUUCAUAAUAGCAUAGAUAUGCUUCUCUAGUGCUAGCAUAUAAGCUCUUCAAUUCAGCAGAUAUGAGUGGUUCAUUUGAUAUCCACUCUAAGUCUUUCCAUGUAAUUUCUUUGUUUUCCCAAGUGAAGCUCAUUUUCAUAUUAUCAUAAUUAGAUAGAAUAUUGCCCACUUUCUUUAGCCACUGUAUGCCAAUUACCACAUUUGAACCUGACAUCUUGAUCAGAAAAAUAUCCAUGCAUACUAUAACACCUUGUAUUUUAAUCUCAACAUUUUUGCACAUCUUGUCGCAUAUUAUUUUUUCUUCCCCACUAGUAGCUACUGUAAAUGGCUUUAUUGCAUGUAUCACUAGUUUCAAUCUGAUAGCUGUCUCUAUUUGAAUGAAAUUAUGUGUAGAUCCCAAAUCUACUAGUAUGCUUACAGCUUGGCUCUUAAUAAACCCUUCUAGCUUGAAGGUGUUGGGGUUCAAAUGUCCUUCAAAUGCGUGCCUGCUGAUCCCUGAAGGAGAUUCAUCACUUGUGAUGAUUGAUGGUAUUUCUUCUGUGAUAUUUUCUGUUUGUUCUUCCAUUUCCAUCAACCAGGAUUCAUCAGCUGAUAGCAUAAAAAUUCUUCCUUUGCAUUUGUGUCCAAGAGUAAAUUUAUCUUCACAGUUAAAGCAUAAGCCUUUAGCUGCUCUUUCCUUUCUUUCUUCCUGAGAUAGUCUUUUGAAGGUUGAUAUUUUUCCUGGCCUUUCUUUCUUUACGUCAGUUCCCCUUUUAUUUUUCUCAUUUACAGUUUUGUAUGUUGUUUCAGUUGCAUUACCCCAGUGUUUAUUCUGUUUAUUGCUGUAGCUGAAUUUAUUAAAUUUAGAUCAUGUCUGUCCUUCAAUCAACAAAGCCACAUCACCAACUUCUUGCUAAUCAUCUGGUCACUGGCUUUAAUUACUUCUUUUCUGAUGUUUUCUUUUAAUUCAGAAAUGAACAUUUCUAGAAUAAAAUAUUCUGGUAAUCCCAAACACCUCGUGCUCAUCUCUUCAAAUUUAUCUUGAUAUUCAGUAACACUUAGAUCUUGCAUUAGUUUGUUUAAAUUCCCCCUGGUAAAGAGUAGUAAACUCUGUUGAAUUUUCUUGUGACAUCAGCCGUAAACUUUUUCCAUGUUGAUAGGAAUCCACUAGCUUCCAUCCAUGAAAAUCACUUUCUUGGAACAAUUAGCAAUUUCUGUUCCUCAAGAGUUUUAUUGUAAAUAAAAAAUCUCCUUACUUGGAACAACCAACCUUCAUACCAUCAAAUCUUGAUAUGUAAACUUUAAAUGUUUUGGAAGGCGUGUAGUUUUCAUCUUCCAGUACGCAAGCUGCAUAUUCAGGUCUGUCCAGAUCUACCAGAGAUAGGUAACUAUGGUCAUUAAACUUUCUUUUUUUUGGGUCUGGGUCUGGAUCUGGAUUUUUUUUUUUGGGGUCACGAACGGUUGAUAGCUUCGAAAAAUUUCUUUAUUUGUCUAGCCAUUUCAGAUAUCGAGUUUGAUACUGAUACUCUAAACUCUGUUAAUUCUUUCCCUUGGGCCAUUUGGAGUUGUAAUCUUGUGAAGUCUGGAUUAGAUAUUUUAUCUGUCAUUUUUGUUCUAGAGCCUGCAAUGAGUACAAGUGUUGAAAAUACCAAUUGAUACCACUAAAUUUAAUUAGAGGUAACAGAGCAAAUUCACCUUCGAGAAUGUGAGACUCCGGUCCGAUGAUCUGAGAUCUCGGGUGCCAAGAGUCGAUCACAGCGAGGAUAAACCUUUUAUCUCUAAAAGAAUAAUCAGAGUGAUUAGUCAUAAAAGGGUGUUUAAAUAAACAUCCUAUACUGAACUGGAUCUACUUGUAAAUAAAUAAAACAAAUUAAGGGUCAUACAGUUUCAUCUAAAGAAAGAAACUGUGAGGUCAAAAAGGAAAAAUGCACACUUAAAGGCAGUUACGAGAUACAAAGAAUCACGAGGGUCGGAUUGCAACUUUAGCCACUUAAAGGCACUCGGGAAAUACAAAGAAGUAUGAGGAUCAGACUACAACUUUAGCCACUUAAAAUAAAGAUAUCGGGCUAAUGGGUAUUCGGACUGCCAUCCGAUUAAAAAUCUGUUUAGUUAAUUAGUUAGUAAAUCUUGUAUUAACUUCUUAAGUUAGUUGGUUAGUUAAUUGGGAUUUCCUAUUAAAUACAACAUUGUAAUCUCUUUUAAUUAAUUGAAUGAAAGAGUUAACUACUUAAGUUUAUACUCAUCACAUCUCUACAGUGAUAACGGCUAAGAAAUUAGGUAAUACGAAUUACCCUAAUUUCUCCCCCAUUCCAGUCGAUUGCUCCCCGUCCGGCGAGCCACUGGAAGUUCAUUCUGCGUGUUCUUCAACUACAGAGCGUGCUCACAUUUUAAUAUGGUAUCUGCCGGUAGUGUCGGUCGUGCUUCCGCUAAUGAAGGAGAGGAAGAGAUCGUCGUUACCCAGAACGAGCAAGAUAAUCAGUCAGGGUCGUCGAGCUCAGCUCCAUCCUCUCCGCCGUCAAUUCUCCACUCCCCUCGCCGCAAGUCGCGCUCAUCCUCCAAGCAUAGACAAAAGAGUCAUCACGGGCAUCACUCCCACAAAUCAAAGAGAUUGGGCCCUGUUUCAGCAAUAAACAACAGGGAGUCUAUCUAUUACUUAAACUCUGGAGAUCAUCCAGGGGCACUGAUAGUCUCUGAUAAGUUGAUUGGGGAGUCCAGUUAUGCAAGUUAGGCAAAUGCCAUGAGGCUCUCCCUACUGUCCAGAAGAAAAAUCAACUUUGUGAAUGGGAUUCAAAAACCAGAGGAUAGAGGAGGAAAAGAAUUUGAAGCAUAGGAGACAGUGAAUGGCCUAGUUCUCUCAUGGAUUGUCAACAGUGUAUCACCUCAGAUAUCAUCUACACUCAUGCAUACUGAAGAAGCAAGCAUUGCUUGGAAGGAUCUUCAAAAAAGGUAUAACCAAGGAAAUGCACCUAAGGUUAACCAAGUGAGGUAUGAUCUAAAUAAUUUACAUCAAGGAUCUGAUAGUGUCACUGUUUUUUAUGAUAAGUUCAAAUCCCUAUGGAAUCAAAAAUUAGAAUUAGAAGACAUUGAUUUUUGUAGUUCAUGCACUCCCAAAUACAAUGUCAAAAUAGAGAAGGAUAAAAUUCACUGGUUCUUGUUAGGACUAAAUGAGGAUUUUAAGACUCUAAGAGGGCAAAUCCUUUUAUAUGAUGAACUACCCAACAUGAACAAAGUUUUUUAUCUUGUCAUAAAAGAAGAAAAACAGAAAAUCUGUUUUAGAGAUAAAAAUGAUAGGCCCAUAGAAUCAUCUGCCUUAUAUGCUAAAAGAACAAAUGAAAAAGAAGAAGAGAAAGAAUUCUAUAGCAAAAAUGGAAAAAAAUUAGAUGCUUCAAAGUACUGUGACAAUUGCAAUUAUUAUGAACAUAUAAGAAAAAAUUGCUAUCAUAUUGUGGGGUUUCCAAAUGACAAGAACAAAGAGAAUAACUAAAAAGGAAAUAAACAAGUUCAAGAAACGUAAGAUUGAGUCUGCAAAUCAAGCCUCGUUCUCAAACUCUACCAUUCCAGGAAUGUCUAGUGAAAAAAUUCUAAUGCUCAAGGACUUCUUGAAAAACAAUGGUAUGAGUCAUUUUUUUAAUACUUUAAAUUUUAAAAUAAAUCAUUUAUAUAAUGUGAUAGAUCUUAAAACAGAAUGGAUCAUAGAUACUGGAGCUUCCAAACAAAUGACUGGGAAUUUUCAGAUCUUUGAUAAACCACCAACUGAAAAUGGUGAACAUUUUGUCACCAUUCCAAGUGGUGAGAUAUGUAGAACUAAAUCAACAAGAAAAAUAACACUUUCCAAAGAUCUAAUUCUACAAGAUGUUCUUUAUAUACCACAAUUUAAAGUAAACUUAAUUUCAGUAAAUAAACUAACUCUGGACAGCAAUUUAAAAAUUUUAUUUGAUGACAAAAAUUGUUAUUUUCAGGGAAGCAAGUUAAGGAGAGUGAUUGGGAAGGGUAGGAGCCAAGAUGGGCUCUACAUAUACAGUUCUAAUCCUCCUGGUUAUGCAUAUACAUCCCUAGACUCUAAAACAUGGCAUAACAGACCUGGACAUAUUUUCAAUGAGAAGCUUGUUAUGUUAGUCAAAAAUCAGCAAAUAGAAUGUAGAAUAAAAAGUUUACUAUGUAAUAAAAAUUCUGUUUUGGAUGAUUGCAAUAAAGUUUUUUCAAAUAAAAAUUGUGAUGUUUGUCCUUUAUCCAAAC
Molecule: long non-coding RNA, 5936 nt
Filed under: Zostera marina
Lineage: Eukaryota; Viridiplantae; Streptophyta; Magnoliopsida; Alismatales; Zosteraceae
Description: long non-coding RNA (ZMAR_LNC004632)
Source: RNAcentral